AUCUGAUGGGUGCCAAACAGGACGAAACGCGCGUCCUAGAU
This 41-nucleotide non-coding RNA is filed under the name Schistosoma haematobium. Lineage: Eukaryota; Metazoa; Platyhelminthes; Trematoda; Strigeidida; Schistosomatidae. The record is from RNAcentral.